Molecule: ribosomal RNA, 707 nt
Filed under: Arthrobacter sp.
Lineage: Bacteria; Bacillati; Actinomycetota; Actinomycetes; Micrococcales; Micrococcaceae
Description: bacterial SSU rRNA
Rfam family: Bacterial small subunit ribosomal RNA
Source: RNAcentral
UGGCGAACGGGUGAGUAACACGUGAGUAACCUGCCCUUGACUCUGGGAUAAGCCUGGGAAACUGGGUCUAAUACUGGAUACGACCUUCCCACGCAUGUGGUGUUGGUGGAAAGCUUUUGUGGUUUUGGAUGGACUCGCGGCCUAUCAGCUUGUUGGUGGGGUAAUGGCCUACCAAGGCGACGACGGGUAGCCGGCCUGAGAGGGUGGACGGCCACACUGGGACUGAGACACGGCCCAGACUCCUACGGGAGGCAGCAGUGGGGAAUAUUGCACAAUGGGCGCAAGCCUGAUGCAGCGACGCCGCGUGAGGGAUGAAGGCCUUCGGGUUGUAAACCUCUUUCAGUAGGGAAGAAGCGAAAGUGACGGUACCUGCAGAAGAAGCGCCGGCUAACUACGUGCCAGCAGCCGCGGUAAUACGUAGGGCGCAAGCGUUAUCCGGAAUUAUUGGGCGUAAAGAGCUCGUAGGCGGUUUGUCGCGUCUGCCGUGAAAGUCCGGGGCUUAACUCCGGAUCUGCGGUGGGUACGGGCAGACUUGAGUGAUGUAGGGGAGACUGGAAUUCCUGGUGUAGCGGUGAAAUGCGCAGAUAUCAGGAGGAACACCGAUGGCGAAGGCAGGUCUCUGGGCAUUAACUGACGCUGAGGAGCGAAAGCAUGGGGAGCGAACAGGAUUAGAUACCCUGGUAGUCCAUGCCGUAAACGUUGGGCAC